AUCUAAUUAAUAAUGUCUUCUUUGCUGGACCUCUUAAUUAGGUUUCAUUAAUAGAUUACAGCUCAUGACACUCGUGUAUAAUGAUUUUUCUCUACAAAAAAAAAGUAUAUAAUAACUGUUAUAUGUAUAUAUUGUGUUCCAAAUUGUCCCUCCCAAAACUAAUGAACUCGUGGUUUAAUUUUCUUUAGCUAAUUAAUGACUAGAGCUCCGUGUUGUGGACGUAUAAUAUGUGUGUCCUCCUAAUCAUUCAAACUCAUAACAUUUAGUACAUUCCCAUACCCCGCUUAAUUCUCUAGACAUUCAUCUUUAAAUGGCGUGUUAACGAAAUUGAACUGUUGAAGUGUACUCAUUGAGCUAUGCCGCAGGUGAAUCAACUCGUGAACCCUGUACGGCAUCAGUGUCACUCUAACAGCACCCCAAAGACUCAAGUUUAUGGUGAAUGCUAUUUGGACAGUUGUGAUGGAACUUAUUUCUUGGAUAAUUCUCUCAAGUUGCCUAAGAACGUUGGUAGCCAUCGUCUCAUCAGGCCCCACGUUCUUAAUUCAUGUAUUCGGAAACUAGACCAUGUGGAAAUUCUAAACCGACUUAACGGAAAUUACAAUGGUGGUGAGAUCAACUCUUGUGCCGGCAUUGGUCUUGGCUGCUGCCAUUGCGUAUCCUACAACACCAAUCUCGACCAUAGGCCGCACUCAGAUGGAAACGUCUUAAGUAAGGUUUAUACAAGCACACAAUUUACCAAAGCUGAACUUGGAGAAGUUAUUUUCAAUAGGACAGAAUCUUAUCGGAAUAACAUUAGCUCCACCUGUAGGAACUGCAACACCGGCAUCGCCUCAUCUUCCAAGUGCUCUUUAGCGACCUACACAACGUCAAAGUGUUACAGACAUGCGAACUCUAGUGCCGCACCAAUUGGUCGUAUUAAAAGUAGCACUACUCAGUAUCAGUACUUAAUUCGAAAACAACAACGCACUAGAAAGUGUGGUUUUAAUGUAUUUAUGCACAGUGCCCUUUACAGGCAACAGCACAGAAUUGAGAACAAUUAUAUCAUCUAUCACAACCCAAUGGAAGAUCCAGAUGCAACAUACACAAGUUUCUCCAACCCUAACUACUUCUUCAAUCGUGCUCGGCACCACAACAAUAACAACAAUGCCACCACUCCAAAUGGCAACACCAGUGGAAUAUUGGCUGACAAGCUAAGGCUCAACACAGACUAUUUUGACAAUCAUGGAGCCUUCAGUGAUUACUCCUCUUGUGAGCCCACCCCUACCACCCCUGACAGGACCCUCAUUCUUCAGAAGUUGCACUCACCUUCAGAUGAUGAUGAUGAUGAUGAUGAUGAUGAUGACAAUGAGGAUGACAAGAGAUACCUGGUCAAGGCUGAUGGAGAUAGUGACAGUAGCCAGUCUAACAACGAAGAGCCUAGGAUGUAUGUAGGUGUCGGAAGCCAUCAAGUUAGAAGGUCCAGGGGAAUCCUAGGCUACCUGGAGAUGUUAGAGAAACAAGCUCUCCAAAGAGAAUCACGAAAAUUCAACAAUGAUAACAGUGAUGAGGAGGAUGGUGAUGAUAAAGAAAAAGAUGAUGAUGAGAAAGAGGAUGCACCUAAAACCAUGCAGGGAGGUGAUCAGCCUGUAGAACCACCACCUAAUGAAAUCUUUGACCAUGGUACAGAGAUUAACUCUCCUGAUUCAAAUGACAGUGGAAUCCAGGCUGGUGAGAAGACUCCUAUUCUCUCUCCUGAUACUCCGGGUGCUCUGAAUGUGCCACCUAUAGAAGAUGUUACCCAGCCAAUAAAGCAAGACAGUGAAGUUCUACCAGAAGGUUGGGAGAAACAUGAAGAUGAUGAUGGGGCAUACUACUGGCAUGUCAAGAGUGGUACCAUCCAGAGAGACCCUCCACCUCCUGCUCCCCCUGAUGGUCCAGCACUUUGUUCUCCCAGGUCAAUCUCACUGACCUCUGAAUCAAGUUCCAGUUCUGCUGGAUCUAUCCCAUCAACCCCAACCAGUACCAAUUCUGGAACUGAGCAUCACUUGGCAGAGUUUGAAGGUCAUGCUCUACAGUAUGCUGCCAACUCUCUCCAAUCUUUAUCAACAUUGUCAGAGAAGAAACCCCAGGAAACUUCUUCUGAUAAAACUGUACGCUUUGCAGUUCGCUCCCUUGGCUGGGUGAAAAUAGCAGAAGAAGAUUUAUCUCCUGAUCGAAGCAGCAAGGCUGUUAACAAGUGCAUUGUGGAUCUUUCACUUGGUCGCAAUGAUAUUAAUGAUGCUGUUGGACGAUGGGGAGAUGGCAAGGAUUUAUUUAUGGAUUUAGAUCAUACUAGUCUUAGGUUGGUGGAUCCAGUUGACGGGGUGGUCCUCAACUCACAACCGAUCCACUCUAUUAGAGUAUGGGGUGUGGGACGUGAUAACGGAAGGGACUUUGCCUAUGUGGCCAGAGACAGAGGUACACGUAUUCAUAUGUGUCAUGUGUUCCAUUGUGACACACCAGCUCGUCAGAUUGCUAACACACUCAGAGAUAUCUGUAAAAAGAUCAUGCUGGAGCGCAGCUUGCACCAGUCUGCUGUGGCAAGACUUAUGCGACCAACAGAUCUGCCCAAUCUAGACAAAGUGUCACAGCCCAAUGGGGAAAAGUUGUCUUUUCAGAACUUGUAUAACAAUGCAAGAUUUCCAACUCCAAUGGAAGAGCCUCGUAAAGUGAUGAGGUGUCAUUAUCUUGGUACACAUGAGGUGAUCAGACCAACAGGCCGUGACAUACUAAAUGAAGCCAUUCAGUACAUGUACUACCGCAUCCCACCUGAGAAGUGGAAGUUUGUCAAUGUAGCCAUAGCACCAUCAACUAUCACUAUCACUGAACAUGGAAAUCCUGAUGGAAUGAUAGAGGAGUGCAGAGUUCGUUUCCUGUCUUUCAUGGGAAUAGCAGUGGAUAAUGUCAAACUGUGUGCUUUCAUUAUGCACACAUCACAAAAUAAGUUCAUUUGUCAUGUGUUCCACUGUGAGCCUAGUGCUGGCCCAAUGUGUAAAACCAUAGAAGCUGCUUGUAAGCUGCGUUACCAGAAAUGUUUAGAUGCCCAUCCACAAACACCUAAAGGGGGAUUACAAGGAAAGAAUGUUGUUGAUGUUCUAAGUGCUGGUUUCAAAGCUAGUGUACAAGGAUUGAAAGUCGGAGUUCAAGAGGUCAAAUCAGGAGCUGUUAUAGGGGUCAUGGGAGUACUUAAUUUAUUCAAAGGGAAAAUGAAUGUUAAAAGUAGUGACUCUUGAUGAUUGCAUCCCUCUAGCGUUCAGGUCUUCAAAUAGCAUCCACUGAUCAGUAGUUUGAGAAGCAGCAUCAAACAAAGUAUCCAGUGUGUCUGGGGCUCAGUGACCCAACUGACCUCUCCCAAGUAGCCUGGCUGCAGGCUCAACCAAUACAUCAUUGCUAUCUUUUGUUUUGUUUUCUUUGCUCCAGUGAAUUAUUGGUGUAGCUUAUUAUGUCAUGCAGUUAGUUUCAGGGACACACAAUGUUCCCCAAUAGUAUGAUCACUACUUUCAUAAUGGAAAGCACCUUUUUGUUUUCAUCUUUGAAUUCUAAAGUAAACUGUUUUGUCACUAUCUUUGGAGGAUUGUAGGAUUAAAUCUGUAAAAAGAAACACAAUCUGUGAUUGAAUACAUUGCUGUCAUUUCAGAAUUUUGUUUUGUGAAACAUUUUAAAUCCAAAAUCCAAUCCUUUGAAUAGUUGUUUUUUUUACUUUUGAUCAAGUCUAGAGGUGAGGGAAGGAGAGGGGGAAAGAGACAUCCAGAUGUUUGUUUUUUUUCUUAUUGAUUGGCAUCAGAUCAAAUGUACAUGAACAACUAAGUGAUGUAGUACUCGAAAAUAGGUGCUACUUUUCACUUUAGUGACAUAAGUUGUCAUUUUUUAUCAAUAAUAUGUAUAGAGUAUAGUUGAAAAGUUUGCAUUUGCAAUGAAAAAAAAGAUUAGAAAUUGAGAUUAUUUUUUUAUAAUUUUAUAUUUCUUUAAAUUUUUUUUAUUUUUUAACCCAUCAAAAAAAAAACAUAUCGUCUGGUUACACAUUCCAAUGUUCAAAUUAAAAUUUGUUCAAAUCCAAAGAUCAAAUAUUAUAUUAUUCAUUUAUUGUUCUAUAGAAAAACAUUUUUUAAUUUGGAUAAAGACUUUCUAGAAAUACAAAAAAAUUUAAUAGUAACAGAAUUUUUAAAUAUUUUUUUUUUAAGUGUUUGUCUUUUUACAACUUAUUUAUAAAGUAUACAUUUAUACAUGUAUAUCUGUCAGCCUUUUUAAUUUGUCUGAUCCAGAACUGAUACUAAACAAAAUUAGAUAAAUAUAUUUAAAAAAAUAGUUCAAAUAUUUCUACAUAGUUCAUUAAACAGGAAAUCAUUUUUUAAAUAUAAUAUAAUAGGUUUUUUAAAAUGUUUUGUUUGAACAUUUAAUGAACCAAAAUAAAAGAAAUAUGAGCCUCAUUCUGUUCAGCAUGGCUCUGUAGGAAGCCUAGCUAUUUAUAGUAGUCUUAAUUUUAAAACAGCUGUUCAAACUAUUGAUGUAUAAAUAGUGCUAAGUUCAUUCUUUUUAAUUGAUAAAAAGCUUGAUACAGAACAUGCUACUUUAGUGUUUCAAUUCAAUUUUAUGUCCAAAUUUUGAAUCUUCAUAUCUAUAUUAUUAUUGUUUCUACUACUAUUCCAACUGUAUUUUUUUCUCUUUUUAUUUUUGUUUUAUACUUCUAUUUAGUUAAAUAUUAUCCUUUAUUGUUAAUUGGUCAUUAUAAUAAUUUUUAAAAAUAUAUUUUACUGUAAUAUCUUUUUUUUUUCACCCAAUAUUUAUUCCUUUUCCAAUGAAACAUUUCUACUUACAAAUUUAGUUCCAGAAUUCAUUGUACCUACAGUAUAUAUCUAGAUGACACAGUGAAAACAGCAACAUACAGAGUCAGUGGCAAAUACAGGAAUAAAUCUACAGAAUCAAUUGACAAUUUCAAAUGUCAUUCAGACUUUGUUGUUUUGCAUCUAUUGGUAAAAUAUAGACAGGGUAAUUUUAUCAUCAAUCUUUGUUUAUUUUAUACCAUUUAGUCUUUCUGUACUGGUAAGGCUAAGGAGAGGGGGGGGGGGGAUAUUUUGAAAUAAAAGAAUUUGUACUUUGUUAUCUCCCAUUAGACUAGUUGAAUACCAGUACUUCGACAUUAUUUUGAUUACAGUGUUUGCAAAGUGGUUGUGCACGUUAUGUUUCUAUAGAGCAGCAAAAUUUUGUUUUUGUGCUUUUACAACUGUGCACAUUACAGAAUAUUUUUUGUACAUUACUUUUUUAUUUUUUUUAAUAUAUUCCUUAAAAGUCAUUGUAUUGACCACACCUUAGUGCAGGAUUAAAACUCAUUGUAAUGACCACACCUUUGUGCAGGAUUGAAGCUCAAUGCAAUGACCACACCUCUGUGCAAUGACCUAUUGCCAGUAAAUCAUAAUCUUUAACUCUAAAAAGUGUGGGGCUAUUUAUUUUAAUUUUUUUUUUUUUAAUCAAGAUUGUUCAGAAAGAUGUAAGCUUUCAACAUGUCCUAUUUUAAAAUAUUCUGAUCAUUAACUUUUGUAAAAGAAUGCAACAGUUAAGUUCUGACAAAUUCAGUGAAAUGAAUUAAGCUUGAUUCUUUUAUUAACAGCCUUAACAAUCUUAGAGCUCAUGGUUAUUAGCAUCUAUAACAAUCUUGGAACUUUUUUAAACAUCUUCAUUAUAUUGACAAGUGUGAGUUCUUUUUUUUUCUUUAUUAACAUCCUUAAAUAUUUUCUAGCUCUUUUUAUUUUAUUUAUUAACUAUUAAGAUCUGAAAGAAACUUUGAGCUUUUGUUUUUUAGUCUUCAGAUUUCUAGUCCAGUUUUCAUCACCAGUAACAGAAAAGUCAUAAUUAUUUUAAAGGAUUUGAAUUAUUUUAUAUGGCAAAAAAAAAUUGAGUUUUGUUGUAAUGGACACUUUUGUACAUAUGUUAAACAUGUAAUUGUUAUUUUGCAUUUUAUUUUUGAAACAGCUUUUGUAGAAACUGAGAAUUCAGAACAGCUUUCAUACAAACUAAAAAUUCAGGCUUAGCAUAAUAUCCAACACUAGAAAUGUCUGGCAUAUCUAUGUGUGUGUUUUUAAUACUCGGUGCUUACUUCUGUAUUUCUGUAUACUGCUUCAUAGAUGUCAACUUUCUGCAAAACAUUGACAGGCAUCAAACACCUAGAUCUAAUGACUUGAUAACAGUGUCACAUAUUAGGCAGUAUCACAUAUUUCAGUAUUAUCUCCACCUGUUUGUAACUCAUAGUGAUGCAUUGAUAUUGAGUUUUUUGCUGAUUCACUAGGACAAUAAAAUGAUCAACAUAAUGAGCCCCAUCCUAACAUGGGUGGCAGUGUGAUAUUAUUUUCCUUUUACAUCUCCACACAAUAUACAUCCCUCAUUGGAACUUUUCUUAAUCAUUGACAUUAGGCUGAUUAUACAAGAGUAAGGAAUAGAAAACAAGACAAAGUUUUUCAACAGAUUAUAAAGUAUUUUGUCAUCAGAAUUAUUUACUUGUAGAUGUUAAUUAUGUUCACAUCAACCAAUACUAUGCUAGAUGGAUGUCUAAAAAAAUUUUUGUGUGCACAUUAAUAAGUAUGUAGUAUUUGUAUAGAAAAAUUGAAAUUGUUUUAAAAAAUAGCAAGUUACUUUGCUUAUUAAAUAUCAAUUUGUACAUGAACAUUAAAAAGAAAUUUUUUAAUCUUUCUAGAACUCAAUGUAUAAGACUCUUGUUCACUUUGUUAUCCUUAAAUUUAGCUAGAAAUUGGCAUUUUCAAACUGUUAAAAAACUAUUGUCACAUUUUAGACUAUAACCAGUAGUAAAAAAAAAUGAUAUUAAUGUCAAUAUUCAUACAAUUUUUUUAUUUUUUUUUAAAUAAACAAUUCAAUUUGUUGUAUGUGCAAUAGACAUGAUUUUAUGCAUUACAAUUAUUUGCGUAUGUUUUGAUUUACAACUCUCUUGUUGUAGCUCAUACAAUUCAUUUUGUAUCAACUAAUUUGCUUAUUUCAUGUACCAGUCAUGAAUUGAUGAUGAAACCUCUGUGAUUUUUGUAGCAUUCUUUGAUACAAUGUUGGUAGAGUGUUUCUGUUUCCUUUAGUUGAUUAGCUCCCCUUUGUGCUUAUUACACAAUAAAUUGAAUAUGCAAUAGACUCAAAA
Biomphalaria glabrata is the source of this 7150-nucleotide RNA transcript. It is a transcript of the gene named amyloid beta precursor protein binding family B member 2-like, with no coding region annotated. The transcript has 17 exons. Lineage: Eukaryota; Metazoa; Mollusca; Gastropoda; Planorbidae. The record is from RefSeq and is a predicted model, not a curated record.